GCUCGCUCGGGCUCGGCGCGGACCCGCCCGGGCGCACUCCUUCCGCUGGCGUCCGGCGUCCUGCCGCCCUGCGCGGAGCCGGCCAGCGGUCUCCGCCACCCCUGAGGGCGCUCCCGGCCCCCAGCGCGGAGGCUCGCGGGCGGAGGUCGCAACGAGAGGCUGGACCGCGGUGGCGCGCGGCUCGCCUUCCCGCAGGUGUUCCUUUGAUACAGCGGAAGGUGCCUCUGCUCUUCUGCCUGAGAGUGGUUCAAAAUGUCCCUUAACAAACAGUUUCUGGACCAAGAACUGGAAGACACACUGAAGAAACAAAGGCCACUGGUUUAGGUGGCCUCCCCACACAAGGGUGGAAGAUCCUGAAUGUGAGAAAGUUGCAGGUCAACCCGUCGCCCACCGGGGCCCACCUCCACAGCUUGAUUUAUCUCGGAUUUUGAAAUCAGUGAGUUCUUAAUUGAGUUGAACUACAUACUUUUCCAGCAAAUACUACCUGAAUUUGUAACAUGGGUUGCUUCAGUCACCAACUUGGCAGGCCUUGCUG
Molecule: long non-coding RNA, 535 nt
Filed under: Equus asinus (donkey)
Lineage: Eukaryota; Metazoa; Chordata; Mammalia; Perissodactyla; Equidae
Description: lncRNA (ENSEASG00005036536.1)
Source: RNAcentral